GAUGAACGCUGGCGGCGUGCUUAACACAUGCAAGUCGAACGGAAAGGCCCUGCUCUUGUGCGGUGCUCGAGUGCCGCACGGGUGAGUAUAACGCGAGUAUCCCGCCCUUGACUUUGGGAUAACUCUAGGAAACUGGGGCUCAUACCGGAUAGAAGCUCCUGCUGCAUGGUGGGGGUUGGAAAGAUUCGGCGGUUCGGGCUGGACUGGCGGCUUAUCAGCUUGUUGGGGUGGUAGUGGAUUACCAAGGCUUCGAAGGGUAGCCGGCCUGAGAGGGUGACCGGGCACAUUGGGACUGCGAUACGGCCCAGACUCGUACGGGAGGCAGCGGUGGGGAAUAUUGCACAAUGGGGGGAAGCCUGAUGCAGCAGCGCCGCGUGCGGGAUGACGGCCUUCGGGUUGUAAACCGCUUUCGCCUGUGACGAAGCGUGAGUGACGGUACCGGAUAAAGAAGCGCCGGCUAACUACGUG
This 468-nucleotide ribosomal RNA is filed under the name uncultured bacterium. RNAcentral describes it as "partial 16S ribosomal RNA". It matches the Rfam family "Bacterial small subunit ribosomal RNA", at positions 28 to 507 of the family's 1533-position model. The record is from RNAcentral.